This 253-nucleotide ribosomal RNA is filed under the name uncultured bacterium. RNAcentral describes it as "partial 16S ribosomal RNA". It matches the Rfam family "Bacterial small subunit ribosomal RNA", at positions 524 to 776 of the family's 1533-position model. The record is from RNAcentral.
UACAGAGGUCUCAAGCGUUGUUCGGAAUUACUGGGCGUAAAGGGUGCGCAGGCCGCGCGGGCAGUCAAAUGUGUAAUUCAGGGGCUCAACCCCUGCACUGCGCUUGAUACUUCCGCGCUCGAACCUUGGAGAGGAGUCUGGAAUUCUCGGUGUAGCAGUGAAAUGCGUGGAUAUCGAGAAGGACACUUAGGGCGAAAGCAAGACUCUGGACAAGUGUUGACGCUCAUGCACGAAGGCUAGGGUAGCGAACGGG